RNAcentral lists this transfer RNA (69 nucleotides) under Elassoma alabamae (spring pygmy sunfish). RNAcentral's name for it is "tRNA-Asp". It matches the Rfam family "tRNA". Rfam says of the family: Transfer RNA (tRNA) molecules are approximately 80 nucleotides in length. Their secondary structure includes four short double-helical elements and three loops (D, anti-codon, and T loops). Further hydrogen bonds mediate the characteristic L-shaped molecular structure. tRNAs have two regions of fundamental functional importance: the anti-codon, which is responsible for specific mRNA codon recognition, and the 3' end, to which the tRNAs corresponding amino acid is attached (by aminoacyl-tRNA synthetases). tRNAs cope with the degeneracy of the genetic code in two manners: having more than one tRNA (with a specific anti-codon) for a particular amino acid; and 'wobble' base-pairing, i.e. permitting non-standard base-pairing at the 3rd anti-codon position. The record is from RNAcentral. Lineage: Eukaryota; Metazoa; Chordata; Actinopteri; Centrarchiformes; Elassomatidae.
AAGAUACUAGUAGAAAAAUUACAUUGCCUUGUCGAGACAAAAUUGCCGGUUAAAAUCCGACGUAUCUUA